This is an RNA transcript of Adelges cooleyi (spruce gall adelgid), 3556 nucleotides long. It is a transcript of the gene named serine/arginine repetitive matrix protein 2, with no coding region annotated. Lineage: Eukaryota; Metazoa; Arthropoda; Insecta; Hemiptera; Adelgidae. The transcript is spliced from 7 exons. The record is from RefSeq and is a predicted model, not a curated record.
UAUAAUAAUAAUGGCAGAACCAAAUAAAAUUAUUGAACAACAAUGUUUUAAACGAGUAUGGAGCAAAACAUUAAAAUCUGUCCUUAAAAAUCCAAAUAAUACUUUUAUAAUGGCUGAAACAAAAUCUGUCGAACAAGUCAAAGAUAAUACUAAGAAAAAACGAACCAGGCGACGUCGAAAGAAAAAAGUUAAACAAAACUCGUUAUGUGAAAAUUGUUGUACUGAAAAAUUAAAUAAAAUUGGCUGUCUGUUACCAACAAAUAUUGCACAAGGAACACUAUUUCUUCAUAAUUUACCUUUAAGUUGCCCCAAUACAGUAUAUUUCAAUGGACUACAUUUCACUGAUUUUAAUGCUUUUCAAUCAUUAUCAAGUGUGAAAGACACUCAUCAAUAUGCUGAUGAACAACUAAAAAAGAAUGCCAGACUACGAGAUGCUUUUGGUAUUUCUGAAUUUUUCAUCGAAGGUUCUAGUUUAGACCCAGAAAGAAAAACUAAAGAAGCAGCGCUAGCUCAGUUGAAGGCAUUGCAGGUGGAACAAACAGUUGUGCAAACACAAAUUAAUGACACUGACACUUCAGUAAACAAAGAUGGUAGCCCAAAAGUUGAACUACUCUCCAAGAGUCCAAAACAUAAGAAACAAAAGAAGAAGAAAAAGAAAAAUAAAUCAUCAAAAUCUCAUAAAACUGAUAAAGAAAAAAGUGUUGAUAAAAAGAAAUCUAAGAAGCAUAAAAAGAAACACAAUUCAUCUAAAGAGAACAGUCCAAGUGUUGAAGAACCUAAAGUUGAUAAAAAUUCUUCAAAAGUUAAAUCUAAGAAUGAUGAUGAAGAAUUGAAAAAGACCAAGACUGAGGAGAGUAAUAAAAAAGUUGUGAAAGAGUCUGAUGAAAAUCAUAAGAAAAACUUUUAUGAAAAAAGUCAUAAAAAUGAACAUAAUGAAAUAGAAAACAAAUUUAAAAGUGAUCGCGAGGAAAGCAACAAGAAAGAUUCCAAAAAAGAGCGUUAUAAAAAUUCCUAUAAGGAUAUUAAGCCUAGCGAAGAGUCAAACAAGUAUAAAUCUAAAAAUUUGUACAAUUUAAAACAUGAUACUGUACCUAAAAAUAAAACACCAGUAAAAGAUUGUGAUAGAUAUAAAGAACGAGGACAAAAUAGAUCUAAAAGUAGAACACCAGUUAAAAAUCGUGAUAAAUAUAGGGAUCAAGGUCAAGAUAGAUCUACAAGUAGAACACCGAUUAAAGAUCGUGGUAGAUAUAGAGAACGAGAGUAUGAUAAAUAUUCAUACAGACAUCAAAAAUACAAUAAUGAUAUAAAAUCAAAUAAAGACAGAGAUAAUAAUGAUAAGAAAUAUGACAGAAAUGAUAGGAAAUACAGUUCAAAAAAAAGCGUGAGCCCUAUUAAAAAAAAUAGAAAACAACCACCUGUGCUACGUGAAAGGUUAACUUGCAUUGAAUCUGACAGUGAUCAUUCCUGUUAUACACCUCCACCUAAUAUAAUGAACACUAGUAUUAAGACAAGUCAAUCCAAAGCAACCGAAGAUAAAGAAAUGAAAAGUACUAAAUACACAUUUUCGCUAAAAGAUGGCAGUGAGGAUAGUGUAGUAGUAAGUAAAUCUAAUGGACGAUCAGAAGAAUCGAAACGAACUUCUAAAAAUGAUGGUAAAACGGUGAUUAAUGACGAAAAACUUGACUCUCGUAAAACUUAUGAGAAAUUAGAUAAGAAAUCAGUAGAGUCUACUGGAGAUGGUGAUUUCGAAGAAGAUAUUGAUCUAAAUAUAAUUAAAGAAAUUACAACUGAAAAUAUAAAAAAAGUUUUUGAACUUCAUGAAAAACAAGAGCAAGCUUUGCUACAUUUAAAGAAGAAAUUGAUGGAGAAAAAAAAUAUAAAAUCGUAUUCUAGUUCAAGCGACAGUUCAGAUGAAGAGCCAAAAAAAAGUAAAGCUGUUAAAAGAACUCAUGUUAGUGAUUCUUCUUCAAGUGCCAGCGAUAUGAAGAAAAAGAAGAAAAUGGCCAAACGUUCACAGUCAAGUAGCAGCAGUAGUUCAAGUGAUUCUAGUGCCGAUCAAAAGCGCUCAACAAAACAUUUAGUAAAAUCUUCUAAGAAAAAGUCAACAGUGUUACGUGGAAGAACCAAAAGAAGUACAUCCCGGUCUCCAACUAGGUCAUCUAGCUCAAAAGAACGAUCACGAAAAAAACGGGCUUCUUCUAGUAGCGACUCCAGUCCAGAACGUAAGCGCAAAUCAUCAAAGCGCAAACAAUCAUCACGUAGGAGAAGAAGUAGUGACAGUAGUAGUUCUUCUAGUAGUAGUGAUGACUCUUGGACAUCAUACAAAAAAAAAAGGAGAAGUUAUUCUACGAGUCAUUCAACAUCUUCUAGUAGUUCAUCAAGUAGCCAAUAUUCUCGAAGUUCUAGUUCAAGUGGAGAUUCCAGCAGUAGCUCAUCAUCUAGUCGUAGUUCUUCAAAGUCUCGAUCAGCUUCUAUACCUAGACGACGGGGUUCGCCUAGUUUUAUGGAUAGAAGAAGAAUAACAAGGUAAUUUUAUCAUUUUAUGUGUGUUAUUUAUCAGUUUUAUUUUUAAUUGAAACAUUUCAAAGCUAAAUUUAAUUUGUUCAUAUUAUAUCUUAAACAAAAACUAUUAUGUUCAAUUUUUUUAUUUAUUGUUCAAUAUAAAUACUGAAACACAAUAGUAAAAUUAUGUUCCUAUCUCAUUUUAAUUAUGCUCGAAUCACAAUGUGGAUCUUGAGACUGGAACACAGGUAUCAGGCUAUCUGUUUAAGUAUUUCUUUUUUUUUUUUUUGUGUAAUUUAUGUCCAGUGUGUAUAAAAUAGCCUUUGCGUAAAUUCUAGUUGUGUCCUAAUGGGUUUUUUUUUUUUUUUUUUUAAUAAUUGAAUAAUAAGUUAAUUAUCUAAAUAUUUGAUUAUGAAUGUUUAUUUGUUAUUUAAUAAUACUUUGUAGAAAUUCCAAAAACUAAGUAUAACAUAUUUGACAACUUAUUGGCUUAUCUUAGAUUUGUUACUAUGCUUAAACGUUUUGAGAAAAGUGUGAUUGGAAUGAAAUCUCUACUAAGUAUUUUACAAUCAUUUUUUUUAGACAAACUGGUAUAGCAUUAAAAAUAUUUAUUCAUGAUUUUAGAAUAUUACACCUUAUAUAUAUAUACAUAUAUUUACGAAAAGGUUAAAAAAUGUUUGCUAAUUUUUUUUAAUGGCAAAGCUAAUCAUUUUUUGAUUUGACUAUUUUAUUAUUUAUAUUUUACUUAUGUGCUUAAAAUAUCAUAUUAUUUGUAGUAGAUUAUUUGUAUGCAUGAUUAUAUAGAUGUAUAUUUAUUAAUAAAUAUUUGAAGAAAAAAAUGUGCGAUUUUAAUUUCUUUCAACUUAUGUAAUAUGUUAUUGAAAAUCAAUAAAAUCAUAAAUGCAAAAUCGUACGAAAAAAAUGCACUAUUUACCGUUUGUGAUUACUCAACAUCUCAUCACGUUGCUCACCAGUCAUAGAAGUGCAGUAGACUUGCACUUUCACAAAGAGUUACCUACUACCUUAGAUUGUUGAAAAACUUUCAGAUAAAUCA